GCCGUUACAGGGCGUCGUGGGGCAGCGCUGGGUAUGGCCAUGACAGGGCGUAGUGGAGCUCCGCCUUGUACGGCUGUUACAGGGGAUCGUGGAGCAGCGCCAGAUACAACCGUUGCAGGGAGUAGUGGAGCAGGAGGCUGCAGCGUGCCUCUGGGGAAUAGCCUGUCGUUGUCGAGAGAUGUCCGACUCGGGGUCGGGCUGCGGAGACGAAGAUGUCCGACUCGGGGUCGGAUUGCUGGGUCAAGGGGCAGCCGACUCGGGGUCGGGCUGCGGAGCCGAAGAUGUCCGACUCGGGGUCGGAUUGCUGGAUCAAGGGGCUGCCGUAGUCUUCCUGGGCGCGCGUGCCGGUCAC
RNAcentral lists this long non-coding RNA (352 nucleotides) under Phoenix dactylifera (date palm). Its description in RNAcentral is "long non-coding RNA (PDAC_LNC019325)". The record is from RNAcentral. Lineage: Eukaryota; Viridiplantae; Streptophyta; Magnoliopsida; Arecales; Arecaceae.